UAUUUGUAGGUUAUCCUAAAGAGAAUAUAGGAUACAUCUUUUGCCACCCUACUGAACAAAAAGUGUUUAUUAGUAAACAUGCCACUUUUAUAGAAAAAAAAUAUUUUAGAAAGAAGGCAGUGGGAAAAAAAUUAAACUUGGAGAAGUUCAAGACCUAUAAACAGAAGUACAAGAUAAUCCUCAACCAAAAGUACCCAUUGAUGAGGUACAACCACAAAAUACAUCUCCUCUUUAA
RNAcentral lists this long non-coding RNA (235 nucleotides) under Elaeis guineensis (African oil palm). RNAcentral describes it as "long non-coding RNA (EGUI_LNC041812)". The record is from RNAcentral. Lineage: Eukaryota; Viridiplantae; Streptophyta; Magnoliopsida; Arecales; Arecaceae.